UUGACCUCAAAUCAGGUAGGACUACCCGCUGAACUUAAGCAUAUCAAUAAGCGGAGGAAAAGAAACUAACAAGGAUUCCCUUAGUAACUGCGAGUGAAGAGGGAAAAGCUCAAAUUUAAAAUCUGGCAGUGUU
RNAcentral lists this ribosomal RNA (133 nucleotides) under Amanita morrisii. RNAcentral's name for it is "partial 28S ribosomal RNA". It matches the Rfam family "Eukaryotic large subunit ribosomal RNA", at positions 1 to 132 of the family's 3401-position model. The record is from RNAcentral. Lineage: Eukaryota; Fungi; Basidiomycota; Agaricomycetes; Agaricales; Amanitaceae.